GCAGCUCUGGAUUCCCAAAUCCUCCCAGUCAGGGUUCAGCACUGAACACAGGACACUCACCAUGGACUUAGGGCUCAUAUUGGUUUUCUCUGUCCUGAUUUUAAAAGGUGUCCAGUGUGAUGUGCAGUUGCUGGAGUCUGGAGGAGGCUUGGUGCAGCCUGGAAAUUCUUUGAAACUCUCCUGUGCAGCCUCUGGAUUCACUUUCAAUAGUUAUUACAUGAGCUGGGUCCGCCAGGCUCCCGGGAAGGGGCUGGAGUGGGUAGCAUCCAUUAGCAGUAGUGGUGGUAGCACCUGGUAUAACGACGCUGUGAAGGGCCGGUUCACAAUCUCCAGAGACAAUGCCAAGAACACUCUGUACCUGGAAAUGAUCAGGCUGAAGUCUGAAGACACAGCCAUGUAUUACUGUGCAAGAGGCACAGUGAGUGAAUGCUACUGUGAGCUCAGACAAAAACACCACUGA
Microtus oregoni (creeping vole) is the source of this 460-nucleotide non-coding RNA. The record is from the annotation of a RefSeq genome assembly. Lineage: Eukaryota; Metazoa; Chordata; Mammalia; Rodentia; Cricetidae.